CCCCGAGCUAUCAAUAAGCGGAGGACUUGGUCAUUUAGAGGAAGUAAGCAUAUCAAUAAGCGGAGGAGCAUAUCAAUAAGCGGAGGACUUGGUCAUUUAGAGGAAGUAAGCAUAUCAAUAAGCGGAGGACUUGGUCAUUUAGAGGAAGUAAGGCAUAUCAAUAAGCGGAGGAGGACUUGGUCAUUAUAGAGGAAGUAAGCAUAUCAAUAAGCGGAGGACUUGGUCAUUUAGAGGAAGUAAAAGUCGGUAACAAGGUUUCCGUAGAGUGAACCUGCGGAAGGAUCAUUAAAAAAAGAGAAACGUCCCGUUCUUUUUCAUAAGAAUGGGUUCUAUUCCCUUAAACCGUGUCUACAUACCUUUGUUGCUUUGGCAGGCCGCCUUCGGGCGUCGGCUCCGGCUGAUAGUGCCUGCCAGAGGACCCAAACUCUAUGUUUAGUGAUGUCUGAGUACUAUAUAAUAUUUAACACUUUCAACAACGGAUCUCUUGGUCCUGGCAUCGAUGAAGAACGCAGCGAAAUGCGAUAAGUAAUGUGAAUUGCAGAAUUCAGUGAAUCAUCGAAUCUUUGAACGCACAUUGCGCCCCUUGGUAUUCCGAGGGGCAUGCCUGUUCGAGCGUCAUUAUAACCACUCAAGCCUGGCUUGGUAUUGGGGUUUUCGCGUGUUCGCGGCCCUUAAAAUCAGUGGCGGUGCCGUCUGGCUCUAAGCGUAGUAAUUUCUCUCGCUAUAGGGUUCCGGUGGUUACUUGCCAAAACCCCCCAUUUUUUCUAGGUUGACCUCGGA
RNAcentral lists this ribosomal RNA (780 nucleotides) under uncultured fungus. RNAcentral's name for it is "eukaryotic LSU rRNA". The stretch from base 465 to 618 matches the Rfam family "5.8S ribosomal RNA". Lineage: Eukaryota; Fungi. The record is from RNAcentral.